This 75-nucleotide antisense RNA is filed under the name Streptomyces sp. CG 926. RNAcentral describes it as "ASpks TB sRNA". It matches the Rfam family "ASpks TB sRNA". Lineage: Bacteria; Bacillati; Actinomycetota; Actinomycetes; Kitasatosporales; Streptomycetaceae. The record is from RNAcentral.
CUUCAGCGAGCCCAGCCACAGCGGCCGGUCGGCGGUCCUGGCCUGACCGUAGGUGGACAGCAGUGCGUCCGCCUC